GUGUACUGUGCGGGACUGAAGUGAAAACUGUGGAUCACCUGUUCACACGGUGCGUAUUCAUCAAAUUCCUUCUUGUGACGGGUGUGGAGGGUAUUCAGGCUACGGAUCUGGGAGACGACGUGACUUCCGUUUGGGAUAGGUAGAUGGGAAGAAAAGGAGUACAGACUGCGCGUAACAGUCUUACUGAAUUUGUAGCUUGCUGGUGGAUCAUUUGGAAGAUCAGGAACGAUAUGAUUUUUAGAAAGAUCCAGCCGGACUCAGUUUUAGCAGCC
Molecule: long non-coding RNA, 272 nt
Filed under: Ananas comosus (pineapple)
Lineage: Eukaryota; Viridiplantae; Streptophyta; Magnoliopsida; Poales; Bromeliaceae
Description: long non-coding RNA (ACOM_LNC023769)
Source: RNAcentral